RNAcentral lists this ribosomal RNA (586 nucleotides) under uncultured bacterium. RNAcentral describes it as "bacterial SSU rRNA". It matches the Rfam family "Bacterial small subunit ribosomal RNA", at positions 338 to 916 of the family's 1533-position model. The record is from RNAcentral.
CCUACGGGAGGCAGCAGUGGGGAAUUUUGGACAAUGGGCGCAAGCCUGAUCCAGCCAUGCCGCGUGUGGGAAGAAGGCCUUCGGGUUGUAAACCACUUUUGUCAGGGAAGAAACGGUCUGAACUAAUACUUUGGACUAAUGACGGUACCUGAAGAAUAAGCACCGGCUAACUACGUGCCAGCAGCCGCGGUAAUACGUAGGGUGCAAGCGUUAAUCGGAAUUACUGGGCGUAAAGCGUGCGCAGGCGGCUUUGCAAGACAGAUGUGAAAUCCCCGGGCUCAACCUGGGAACUGCAUUUGUGACUGCAUGGCUAGAGUACGGUAGAGGGGGAUGGAAUUCCGCGUGUAGCAGUGAAAUGCGUAGAUAUGCGGAGGAACGCCGAUGGCGAAGGCAAUCCCCUGGACCUGUACUGACGCUCAUGCACGAAAGCGUGGGGAGCAAACAGGAUUAGAUACCCUGGUAGUCCACGCCCUAAACGAUGUCAACUGGUUGUUGGGAGGGUUUCUUCUCAGUAACGAAGCUAACGCGUGAAGUUGACCGCCUGGGGAGUACGGCCGCAAGGUUGAAACUCAAAUGAAAUUGACGG